GAAAUGCGAUAAGUAAUGUGAAUUGUAGAAUUCAGUGAAUCAUCGAAUCUUUGAACGCACAUUGCGCCCAUUAGUAUUCUAGUGGGCAUGUCUGUUCGAGCGUCAUUUCAACCCCUAAGCACAGCUUAUUGUUGGGCGUCUACGUCUGUAGUGCCUCAAAGACAUUGGCGGAGCGGCAGCAGUCCUCUGAGCAUAGUAAUUCUUUAUCUCGCUUCUGUUAGGCGCUGCCCCCCCGGCCGUAAAACCCCCAAUUUUUUCUGGUUGACCUCGGAUCAGGUAGGAAUACCCGCUGAACUUAAGC
RNAcentral lists this unclassified non-coding RNA (301 nucleotides) under plant metagenome. Its description in RNAcentral is "partial contains 5.8S ribosomal RNA, internal transcribed spacer 2, and large subunit ribosomal RNA". The stretch from base 1 to 105 matches the Rfam family "5.8S ribosomal RNA", at positions 50 to 154 of the family's 154-position model. The record is from RNAcentral.